This 321-nucleotide ribosomal RNA is filed under the name Rathayibacter rathayi. RNAcentral's name for it is "bacterial SSU rRNA". It matches the Rfam family "Bacterial small subunit ribosomal RNA", at positions 1 to 321 of the family's 1533-position model. Lineage: Bacteria; Bacillati; Actinomycetota; Actinomycetes; Micrococcales; Microbacteriaceae. The record is from RNAcentral.
UUUUACGGAGAGUUUGAUCCUGGCUCAGGACGAACGCUGGCGGCGUGCUUAACACAUGCAAGUCGAACGAUGAAGCCUAGCUUGCUGGGUGGAUUAGUGGCGAACGGGUGAGUAACACGUGAGUAACCUGCCCUUGACUCUGGGAUAAGCGCUGGAAACGGCGUCUAAUACCGGAUAUGACCUGCCCCGGCAUCGGGUGUGGGUGGAAAGUUUUUCGGUCAAGGAUGGACUCGCGGCCUAUCAGCUUGUUGGUGAGGUAAUGGCUCACCAAGGCGACGACGGGUAGCCGGCCUGAGAGGGUGACCGGCCACACUGGGACUG